CCCGCUGUAGCUUAACGGCGAAAAAGCGUCGCCCUGAUAAGGCGAAGACCGCGUGUUCGACUCACGCCGGCGGGACCA
This is a transfer RNA of 78 nucleotides. It matches the Rfam family "tRNA". Rfam says of the family: Transfer RNA (tRNA) molecules are approximately 80 nucleotides in length. Their secondary structure includes four short double-helical elements and three loops (D, anti-codon, and T loops). Further hydrogen bonds mediate the characteristic L-shaped molecular structure. tRNAs have two regions of fundamental functional importance: the anti-codon, which is responsible for specific mRNA codon recognition, and the 3' end, to which the tRNAs corresponding amino acid is attached (by aminoacyl-tRNA synthetases). tRNAs cope with the degeneracy of the genetic code in two manners: having more than one tRNA (with a specific anti-codon) for a particular amino acid; and 'wobble' base-pairing, i.e. permitting non-standard base-pairing at the 3rd anti-codon position.